RNAcentral lists this ribosomal RNA (253 nucleotides) under uncultured bacterium. RNAcentral's name for it is "partial 16S ribosomal RNA". It matches the Rfam family "Bacterial small subunit ribosomal RNA", at positions 524 to 776 of the family's 1533-position model. The record is from RNAcentral.
UACGUAGGGUGCAAGCGUUGCCCGGAUUUAUUGGGCGUAAAGGGCGCGUAGGCGGCUCUGCACGUUCGUUGUGAAAUCGCCCGGCUCAACUGGGCGGGGUCAGCGGAUACGGUGUGGCUAGAGCAAGCUAGGGGGCAAUGGAAUUCCCGGUGUAGUGGUGGAAUGCGUAGAUAUCGGGAGGAACACCAGUGGCGAAGGCGGUUGCCUGGAGCUUUGCUGACGCUGAUGCGCGAAAGCGUGGGGAGCGAUCCGG